Molecule: unclassified non-coding RNA, 335 nt
Filed under: Hevea brasiliensis (rubber tree)
Lineage: Eukaryota; Viridiplantae; Streptophyta; Magnoliopsida; Malpighiales; Euphorbiaceae
Source: RNAcentral
UCAGACUGAGACAAGACGGCCAUGGAAUGAACGGUGGAGACUUUGACCUUUCCACCAAGUGAGGCAGCUUUAAGUGCGUUUUCCAUAUUUUGCAUUGCAGGUAAUAGCUGAGAGAUCAGGUUUUGGUCUCCAGAUAACAAUACCUCGUUACCAACGGUGACGAUAAUGAUUUUGCUAGCUGGGUAGUAAGGCAAGAUGUUGGCGUUGAUCCACUGAGUAGCUGAGUUGGGAUCAGAAGCCAAAGCAGGGAUAUCACUAUUUGCAGCUCCAAUGACAAUCCCUAUCCCAGUAUUGGCAAGAGCUUUGAGAACCGCUGGAUCGGCCCCGUAGAGCCU